AUCAACUUUCGAUGGUAGGAUAGAGGCCUACCAUGGUGGUAACGGGUAACGGGGUGUUAGGGCACGACACCGGAGAGGGGGCCUGAGAAACGGCUACCACAUCCAAGGAUGGCAGCAGGCGCGCAAAUUACCCAAUCCCGACACGGGGAGGUAGUGACAAUAAAUAACAAUACGGGGUUCUUUAGGAUCUCGUAAUUGGAAUGAGUACAAUUUAAAUCUCUUAACGAGGAACAAUUGGAGGGCAAGUCUGGUGCCAGCAGCCGCGGUAAUUCCAGCUCCAAUAGCGUAUAUUAAAGUUGUUGCAGUUAAAAAGCUCGUAGUUGAAUUUCGGGGUUAGUAGGUUGGUCAUGCCUCUGGUAUGUACUGGUCUCACUGAUUCCUCCUUCCUGAUGAGCCGUAAUGCCAUUAAUUUGGUGUUUUGGGGAAUUUGGACUGUUACUUUGAAAAAAUUAGAGUGUUUAAAGCAAGCUAACGCUUGAAUACAUUAGCAUGGAAUAAUGAAAUAGGACGUUCGAUCCUAUUUUGUUGGUUUCUAGGAUUGACGUAAUGAUUAAUAGGGAUAGUUGGGGGCAUUAGUAUUCAAUUGUCAGAGGUGAAAUUCUUGGAUUUAUUAAAGACUAACUACUGCGAAAGCAUUUGCCAAGGAUGUUUUCAUUAAUCAAGAACGAAAGUUAGGGGAUCGAAGACGAUCAGAUACCGUCGUAGUCUUAACCAUAAACUAUGCCGACUAGGGAUCGGAUGAUGUUAAUUUUUUAAUGACUCAUUCGGCGCCUUACGGGAAACCAAAGUGUUUGGGUUC
This 799-nucleotide ribosomal RNA is filed under the name uncultured Glomeromycotina. Its description in RNAcentral is "SSU rRNA". It matches the Rfam family "Eukaryotic small subunit ribosomal RNA", at positions 314 to 1114 of the family's 1831-position model. Lineage: Eukaryota; Fungi; Glomeromycota. The record is from RNAcentral.